Macaca mulatta (Rhesus monkey) is the source of this 2048-nucleotide RNA transcript. It is a transcript of the gene named cyclin dependent kinase 10, with no coding region annotated. The record is from RefSeq and is a predicted model, not a curated record. NCBI's taxonomy places the organism in Eukaryota, Metazoa, Chordata, Mammalia, Primates, Cercopithecidae.
CCGCCCCUCGGCGCGGGCCCAGGGCGGGGCUGGGCGGGGCGGCGCGAGCGCAGGCGCCGACCUCGGCCCGGGGCGAACCGUUCCUGCCGCCGAGUCCGCCACGGACGGCGCCUUAAGUGUCUUCCCGCCUGAGGCGGUUACGGAAACGGAGAGACUCGAGACUGAAGCCAGCUUAUUCUAGACCCAAACAGGCGACUGAAGACGAUGGGACCCACUGCCCUGGAUUCGAUCGGGCCCGGGACACCCAGACAGAUGAGAUUGUCGCGCUGAAGAAGGUACGGAUGGACAAAGAGAAGGAUGGCAUCCCCAUCAGCAGCCUGCGGGAGAUCACACUGCUGCUCCGCCUGCGUCACCCCAACAUCGUGGAGCUGAAGGAGGUGGUUGUGGGGAACCACCUGGAGAGCAUCUUCCUGGUGAUGGGUUACUGUGAGCAGGACCUGGCCAGCCUCCUGGAGAAUAUGCCAACACCCUUCUCGGAGGCCCAAGUCAAGUGCAUCGUGCUGCAGGUGCUCCGGGGCCUCCAGUAUCUGCACAGGAACUUCAUCAUCCACAGGGACCUGAAGGUUUCCAACUUGCUCAUGACUGACAAGGGCUGUGUGAAGACAGCGGAUUUCGGCUUGGCCCGGGCCUAUGGCGUCCCAGUAAAGCCAAUGACCCCCAAGGUGGUCACUCUCUGGUACCGAGCCCCCGAACUGCUGUUGGGAACCACCACGCAGACCACCAGCAUCGACAUGUGGGCCGUGGGUUGCAUCCUGGCCGAGCUGCUGGCGCACAAGCCCCUUCUCCCUGGCACGUCUGAGAUCCACCAGAUCGACUUGAUCGUGCAGCUGCUGGGGACGCCCAGUGAGAACAUCUGGCCGGGCUUUUCCAAGCUGCCGCUGGUCGGCCAGUACAGUCUCCGGAAGCAGCCCUACAACAACCUGAAGCACAAGUUCCCGUGGCUCUCGGAGGCCGGUCUGCGCCUGCUGCACUUCCUGUUCAUGUACGACCCGAAGAAAAGGUGCUGUCUCUGCCCGGGGGGCAGGGCCCCCACCACCCGCACUGUCGAGACCGUUUCCCAGAGCCCAGCCUCACUGCGGCGGAGAGGCCGCUCCCCAGGCACAGCCGCUCAGCGGUUUCUGGCCACCAGGCUUCCUUUGAGAACUUCAAUCACAGCUGCUCAGCUGGGUGGGAGACGAGGAAGCCGGACUCACGAGUCGCACUAAUGCAGGCUGCCUCCUCCAGGGCGACGGCCGGGGACUGCCUGGAGAGCUCCUACUUCAAGGAGAAGCCCCUACCCUGUGAGCCGGAGCUCAUGCCCACCUUCCCCCACCACCGCAACAAGCGGGCCGCCCCGGCCACCUCUGAAGGCCAGAGCAAGCGCUGUAAACCCUGACGGUGGGCCUGGCAUACGCCUGUAUUCCCACACCAUGUCUUUCGGGCGGCGGUGUCCCUGAAGGGUGCUAGGAGCUGACGAGGUGCCUGGGACCCAGCUCAUCCCCUUGACUGACUUCCUCCCACUGUCUGCCCUGAACCCACUACUGCUCCCAAAAACAGGCAGGGCAUGAAUGCAGGGUGACACGGGGGCACCCGUGGAAGGGCGGGUCUGGCGGCCCCAUCCGUGGCCGCAGGGGUCCUGCUGUGUUGGAAACAUGGGACCACUGAGGGGUCUCGUGCGGCUCUCCUCCUCGCUGUACUGGAAGCACGGGACCACUGCUUCCUGGGAGGAGUGGCGGCUGCAGUCCCCCCACUAUCUUCGAGUUGUGGUGGACGCUGGCCUGGGAUCAGCGGGCCCAGAAGACCUUUGUAUCCCCCCUCAGUUGCCUGGGGUGCCCUGUGCAUGGGUCGGCUGUGGUGACCCCAGGUGGGCCUGGCAGGACUCCAGAUGAGGACAAGAGGGACAAGGUGUGGGGUGGGAGCCACAAUUGAGGAUGCCCCAAGACCACCGAGAGCCCUGGGCUGGGGGCUGAGCUAUAUCCCUGCUCCCCACGGGGGCCCCAACAGGGGGUCAUGGCUCAGAUGCUGAGCAAAACUGUAGGCUCUUGUUGGAUAAAAGCUUUCUUAACAGA